This 252-nucleotide ribosomal RNA is filed under the name uncultured bacterium. RNAcentral's name for it is "partial 16S ribosomal RNA". It matches the Rfam family "Bacterial small subunit ribosomal RNA", at positions 524 to 777 of the family's 1533-position model. The record is from RNAcentral.
UACGAAGGGGCUAGCGUUGCUCGGAAUCACUGGGCGUAAAGCGCACGUAGGCGGCUUUCUAAGUCAGGGGUGAAUCCUGGAGCUCAACUCCAGAACUGCCUUUGAUACUGGAGAGCUUGAGUCCGGAAGAGGUGAGUGGAACUCCGAGUGUAGAGGUGAAAUUCGUAGAUAUUCGGAAGAACACCAGUGGCGAAGGCGGCUCACUGGCCCGGUACUGACGCUGAGGUGCGAAAGCGUGGGGAGCAAACAGGG